UGGGGAAUAUUGGACAAUGGGCGAAAGCCUGAUCCAGCAACGCCGCGUGAGGGAUGACGGCCUUCGGGUUGUAAACCUCUUUCAGUACAGACGAAGCGCAAGUGACGGUAUGUACAGAAGAAGGACCGGCCAACUACGUGCCAGCAGCCGCGGUAAUACGUAGGGUCCGAGCGUUGUCCGGAAUUAUUGGGCGUAAAGGGCUCGUAGGCGGUUUGUCGCGUCGGGAGUGAAAACUUCGGGCUUAACUCGGAGCUUGCUUUCGAUACGGGCAGACUUGAGGCAUUCAGGGGAGAACGGAAUUCCUGGUGUAGCGGUGAAAUGCGCAGAUAUCAGGAGGAACACCGGUGGCGAAGGCGGUUCUCUGGGAAUGUUCUGACGCUGAGGAGCGAAAGUGUGGGGAGCGAACAGGAUUAGAUACCCCCGUAGUCC
This 429-nucleotide ribosomal RNA is filed under the name uncultured bacterium. Its description in RNAcentral is "bacterial SSU rRNA". It matches the Rfam family "Bacterial small subunit ribosomal RNA", at positions 355 to 796 of the family's 1533-position model. The record is from RNAcentral.